This 500-nucleotide long non-coding RNA is filed under the name Pan troglodytes (chimpanzee). Its description in RNAcentral is "long non-coding RNA NONPTRT004600". The record is from RNAcentral. Lineage: Eukaryota; Metazoa; Chordata; Mammalia; Primates; Hominidae.
UGGUUUUUUGUGGAUACUCUGCAUAUAGACAUUCUAGACUGGAGUGAUACAUCUUGUUCAGGUUUCUAUGUUUUCAAAAUGAUAACUUGACACACCUACCAAUGCCAAUUUUUAGGAUAUAUAUCUGUAUAUCUGUGUGAACUAAGGAAAAUUCAGGUAUGAUUAAACCUACAUAUUUUGCCAGGAGAGACUGGAUAAUGGUUUUGUGCAUCUCUAAGAUGAUCAUCUUGGUGUGGGGUCCUGAUCUUCCCAGUGACUUAGCAGCACAGUAAUUUGGCUGAAAUGUUGAUGAGUUCAGACAAGAAGAAGGUGAUGAUGACAAGAGAGCGUCACGGGGAAAUUCUGCCCUGAGGAAGGAAUAGUUUGAGGCUGGAGAGAUGUGCUACCCCCGCCACUCUUUCUCAAAUGGAAAGACAACCUGUAGGCACAGAAAUCAUUGCUCUGCUUACACUGAAAUCUCCUGCUGACUUUGAGAGCUGAGCACUGGAUUUUGAUGGGAG